RNAcentral lists this long non-coding RNA (327 nucleotides) under Musa acuminata (dwarf banana). RNAcentral's name for it is "long non-coding RNA (MACU_LNC001887)". The record is from RNAcentral. Lineage: Eukaryota; Viridiplantae; Streptophyta; Magnoliopsida; Zingiberales; Musaceae.
GGGCGGACCAUCAACCCGGUGAAUGGCGCCGUGGGCCUGCUGUGGACCGGCAACUGGCACCUCUGCCAGGCGGCGGUGGAGACCGUCCUCCGCGGCGGCGCGCUCCGCCCGCUCCCGAAUCUCGCCGCCGAGGCCCAUGGCGGCGGCGCGAUGCCGGAGGCUGACGGCCUCUGCCCACCCCCGAGGAUGGGGUUCUCCUCCUUCUCUUCGGCCAAGCGGCGGAGGGCACCGGCUCCAUCCAAGGCGGACUACGCGGCGGCGUGCGACCUGGACCUGUGCCUGACCCCGCGGUCUCCAAGAAGCGAGAGAGAGGAUAAGCGGCGGCGG